RNAcentral lists this ribosomal RNA (491 nucleotides) under uncultured bacterium. RNAcentral describes it as "partial 16S ribosomal RNA". It matches the Rfam family "Bacterial small subunit ribosomal RNA", at positions 29 to 506 of the family's 1533-position model. The record is from RNAcentral.
AGUGAACGCUGGCGGUAGGCCUAACACAUGCAAGUCGAACGGCAGCACAGUAAGAGCUUGCUCUUACGGGUGGCGAGUGGCGGACGGGUGAGGAAUACAUCGGAAUCUACUUUUUCGUGGGGGAUAACGUAGGGAAACUUACGCUAAUACCGCAUACGACCUACGGGUGAAAGCAGGGGAUCUUCGGACCUUUCGCGAUUGAAUGAGCCGAUGUCGGAUUAGCUAGUUGGCGGGGUAAAGGCCCACCAAGGCGACGAUCCGUAGCUGGUCUGAGAGGAUGAUCAGCCACACUGGAACUGAGACACGGUCCAGACACCUACGGGAGGCAGCAGUGGGGAAUAUUGGAAAAUGGGCGCAAGCCUGAUCCAGCCAUACCGCGUGGGUGAAGAAGGCCUUCGGGUUGUAAAGCCCUUUUGUUGGGAAAGAAAAGCAGCAGGUUAAUACCCCGCUGUUCUGACGGUACCCAAAGAAUAAGCACCGGCUAACUUCGU